Molecule: long non-coding RNA, 232 nt
Filed under: Mytilus galloprovincialis (Mediterranean mussel)
Lineage: Eukaryota; Metazoa; Mollusca; Bivalvia; Mytilida; Mytilidae
Source: RNAcentral
GGGGGGGGGGGGCUAGGAUGAAAAAUUGUUUCCUGCUUUUUUUUUUAUUUGUAAUCUCUAUCCUGCCUUUUUAUUUUUCAGUCUAUUCGGUCCUGCCUUUUUUUCUUAGCUUAUCCUGACUUUUUUACAACAAAUGUCAUCCUGCCUUUUUUUUCCAAGUUACUCAUCCUGCCUUUUUUUUUACGACCAUUGGUUGACGACCUAAAUUAUCCCAUUGACUGGGACAGAUUAG